RNAcentral lists this ribosomal RNA (450 nucleotides) under uncultured bacterium. RNAcentral's name for it is "partial 16S ribosomal RNA". It matches the Rfam family "Bacterial small subunit ribosomal RNA", at positions 354 to 796 of the family's 1533-position model. The record is from RNAcentral.
GUGGGGAAUAUUGGACAAUGGGCGAAAGCCUGAUCCAGCCAUGCCGCGUGUGUGAAGAAGGUCUUCGGAUUGUAAAGCACUUUAAGUUGGGAGGAAGGGCAGUAAGUUAAUACCUUGCUGUUUUGACGUUACCGACAGAAUAAGCACCGGCUAACUUCGUGCCAGCAGCCGCGGUAAUACGAAGGGUGCAAGCGUUAAUCGGAAUUACUGGGCGUAAAGCGCGCGUAGGUGGUUUUGUAAGUUGAAGGUGAAAUCCCCGGGCUCAACCUGGGAACUGCCUCCAAAACUGCAUGACUAGAGUACGGUAGAUGGUAGUGGAAUUUCCUGUGUAGCGGUGAAAUGCAUAGAUAUAGGAAGGAACACCAGUGGCGAAGGCGACUACCUGGACUGAUACUGACACUGAGGUGCGAAAGCGUGGGGAGCAAACAGGAUUAGAAACCCCUGUAGUCC